CAGCAAUCUGGAAAAACCUCAUAAAACUAAGUAUGAAUAACUGGAGAGAGGAGGAAAUCUUACCUCUGCGUCUGGCCAGAUGUAUGGUCCCUUGUGCAAAAAAUUUGAUCUGGCCUCGUAGGAGCAGAAGAGAAAUUUGGGCUAAUGUCCUCACACCGAUCACAACCAAGAGGGGCGAAAGGCCGAGCUUUUGGAUCUUGAAUUGAUCAUAGGAAUUGGAUUUCCACACCAUGGAUCAAGUUCAGGGCGUCUUUCUCGACAGGAACUGGCGACUAAGUCGGCAUCUCAAUUGGGAGGGAUUUGAAAUCAAGGAACUUACUUGGAGUUGUGGUUGAAUGGGUGGAUAGCACAAAAUACAGCAAGGAGCAGUGAGAGGCCGACCAACAACCUAGAAAACAGACAAAGAAGACAACUUGGACUCGUAGAGAAGGAUGAGCACUCGGGAACUGUCACAAUGGGGGAAGCUGAAAUAGCAAGGAAGAAGUCGCGUUGUCCUUCUACCUAGGAAGGGUGCCGAAUCUGAGAGUAUGAUUCUUGGGAGGAGCAGCUGCUGAAAUCGCUGAGGAAGCACAGCUGAGCUUGUUAGAUUUCAAGGUAGGAAUUUCGCUGGGGGUGCUACAUCUGCGAUGAUGGUUGAGAACUUGAGAUCGACAAAGGUGUUCGUGGAGGUAAGGAAGUUAGAGUAGUUGCAAAGAGGAAACGGUGAAAGAAAUUGGGCAAAUCUUAUAGAAGGAGAUGAACAAAAGAGUUUUGGAAUUGCAGUUGGGAUGAAACCAGAUGGAAGGAAGGACUAAGAAAUUAGGAAAGAUCACGUUGGGAUGGAACUGAAUUAAGAAACAGGACUACUGUUCCUAAGCUACAGUGGCACCUUCUGGUUGGGCCCUAGCUUUCUAUAUCUUAA
Molecule: long non-coding RNA, 901 nt
Filed under: Linum usitatissimum (flax)
Lineage: Eukaryota; Viridiplantae; Streptophyta; Magnoliopsida; Malpighiales; Linaceae
Description: long non-coding RNA (LUSI_LNC002822)
Source: RNAcentral